Long non-coding RNA from Musa acuminata AAA Group (dessert banana), 5796 nucleotides. RefSeq lists it as uncharacterized. NCBI's taxonomy places the organism in Eukaryota, Viridiplantae, Streptophyta, Magnoliopsida, Zingiberales, Musaceae. The record is from RefSeq and is a predicted model, not a curated record. The transcript is spliced from 2 exons.
UCAAACCAAAAUAAUUUAUAGUCUUUAAAAUUAAAUUAUUAAUAAACAGAUCUAGAUCGAACCAUUUCAUUUUAGAUCUAUUUGAUUCUGAUUUUAUUUCAAUUAGAUUUUUUGAUUUGAUUUAAACAUCCUUUUUACAUGCACUCCCAAACUAUAUUCAACAUGCACCUUAAAAAAUUAAUAAUAAUAAAAAAAAAGUAACUUAUUUUUUUAAAUACUAAAGUAAAAAAAGUAACUUAUUCAACAAAAUCACACAGUAAAAAAAGAAAACCCUGACAAUAUCAGAAAAUAAAAUAAUAAUAAUAAGCUUCAUCAUCAUGUUCACGUGGCCAGAGAAGAGGAGUUGGCAGUGUUGGAAGGAAGAGAAGGAGGAACGAAGGGAUGGGAGAAGAGAAAGAUGACGGCUCUUUCGUGCGUGGAGGAGGACGUGCUGCGCUGCUGCGGCAGCAAAAGGUUCGCCAAGGAGAUGGUCUCGGCCUCCCCCUUCACCGAUCUCGACCACGCCCUCCGAUCCGCCUGCGACAUCUGGUUCGACAAGGUCUCCCCGUUGCCGUAUUCCUAGUUCCUCUUCCCGUUCUUCUCUCUAGCCUGUUGUGAUUCCAUCUCCCUCUUGAUUUCUAAUGAAUCUUGCACGUCGACGCCGUCGGAUGACCCGAGGCUUUCGCGGCUCACCCGGCGAUCGGAGCCGCCUCUCCUUCCGUCUCCCAAACGAUUCCGCCUUGCAAGAAUUGGUGGAAUGGAAUUUUCGGCACAGGGAGAAGUUUGGGUUCGUGUUCCUCGUAUGCGCAUCUGGGAGGGGCAUGAUGGAGAUCCUUGCUGAAUUAAAGGUCCCAUUUUUCUGAACAAACUACCGUUUUGCUGAAUCAUGCUUUCCAAUUACUUUUAAGUUUUAACAAAUAACAGUUUUAAUGAUGGUACGAUGGAAGAUACUAUUGCUACUUAAAACUAUCUUUUCAUUGGAAUCUUGUUAGGUCUUACCACUACAUAGAACAACUCAUCAAUGUUGUGUCUACUACCUCUGCCAAGGGGCUCUUUUAUCCUGUGCUGUGUGUUCCUGUGGUUUUUUAUGCGCAUGCAUGGAUGGAUCUUUAUCCUGAAUUUAGCUGCAUCCAAAGACAUCUGAAAAAUUAAAGUUCUUUAUGCUUUGUAGAUUCAUAUUUUGUCUUUUUAAUCCCAAAAGAGAGACAUGUUAGGACCCUUUUUCUGAGCUUUUGAAUAAUGUUUAUUGAGUCUGUUUAGUCCAAUUGUUUAUUGAGUUGGUUUGGUUCAGUUAGAAUCAAGUAGAGGUUUAUUUAAUAUUUAUUUAUUAUUAGAGUUCAAGUCCUGAUGGGCUUUGGGUGGAGCUCUAUAAAUAGGGAUGUAACUGCUUCUUUUCAGUAAUCUAUGAAAAAUACUAUUCUGUCUUUGGACAAUCCUAGGAGGCCGAUCCCCUCGAAGUGAUCAAGGAGGGUCGAUCCCCUCGAAGCGAUCAAGGAGGCCGAUCCCCUCGAAGUGAUCAUUAUCAUCCUCAUUUCUCCCAUUUCUUCCACGAUAAGAUUUUAGGGUCUUAUCAUUUGGUAUCAGAGCCUACGAUAAAACUUUAGGGUCUUAUCAUUUGGUAUCAGAGCGACGAUAAGACCUUUAGGGUUUUAUCAUUUGGUAUCAGAGCCUACGAUAAGAUAUUAAAGGCAUCACACAUACAGUGCAUGCAUUGGCUGGCUACACUAACCCACAAACUAUGAAAAUCGGAGGAACUUUGAAGCAUCAACCUGUCACUAUUUUGAUUGAUACAGAUAACACUAAUAAUUUUAUGGACAGGAAAGUUACAGCCCAAUUAGCCCAUCACAUUGAAGGCUGUGAUAUAUUCAAAGUUGAUGGAUGAAUUUUAACUUAUGAUAGCAAAGGUUAGGAAUUUCUUGCAACGAUUACUACACUGAAAGAUCGACCUAUUGCUUACACUGUCAAAAAGUGGAGACCAUACUUACUUGAUCAACGGGUUGUGAUGCGUUGCAGAUAGUCUAUGGCUAAAGUGCUGAAAGAGAACCUCCCCGAGAUUGAUGCUGCUCAGCCUUGAGGACAAGGCUGAUUUGAAGAGGGAGGAACUGUUAGGACCCUUUUUCUGAGCUUUUGAAUAAUGUUUAUUGAGUCUGUUUAGUCCAGUUAUUUAUUGAGUCGGUUUGGUUCAGUUAGAGUCAAGUAGAGGUUUAUUUAAUAUUUAUUUAUUAUUAGAGUUCAAGUCCUGAUGGACUUUGGGUGGAGCUCUAUAAAUAGGGAUGUAACUGCUUCUUUUUAGUAAUCUAUGAAAAAUACUAUUAUGUCUUUGGACAACCCUAGGAGGCCGAUCCCCUCGAAGUGAUAAGGAGGGUCGAUCCCCUCGAAGUGAUCAAGGAGGGCCGAUCCCCUCGAAGCGAUCAAGGAGGCCGAUCCCCUCGAAGUGAUCAUUAUCAUCCUCAUUUCUCCCAUUUCUUCCACGAUAAGACUUUAUGGUCUUAUCAUUUGGUAUCAGAGCCUACGAUAAAACUUUAUGGUCUUAUCAGGACACCCUUAAGCCCUAACUGUAGAAAGAGUAAGAUAAAAGGGGAUCAAUAACAAGAAAGUAGGUUGACGUUGUAUUUCUACAUCUAUUGAUAUAAUGGAAAUCGGAAAGAUGCUGAGUUACAUAUUAAGUGUUAAUUUGAUAUAGUGUUCUUGAAUGUCUUGGCACUCGAUAAAGAUGGUUCAAGGAACUAGAGAAGGAAUAAAGAUGGAUGAUAUGAAACACUCUUGGAACAAAUUUUCAUAGAAGAUUCAAUAACUCUUUGUUGGACAAAUCCAAGCUUUCAUUUUCCUCCUAUGGCAGGCAUUGCCUCAAAACCUAUGCAGAUAACGGUAGAAGUCCAAAUAAUGGAAGCAGGAAACUCUUUGAGGGUCCUAGAUGCUAAAGAAACCUUUUUUGGUUAAAUUAUGUAUAUAUUUUUUAUUAUAAGGAUCUGAUUCUUAUGCUCUUAUCAUAUUCUCUGUACAAAUUAGCUAAAUUUCACUCUUUGCAAAUUUUUUUCCAAAACUUUAUAUGAAAAUGUCCCUCAUGUGGUUGCUUUAGAAGAAAGAAAAGGCAUCUCAAUCUGGUGGAAUCAUUUGUAGGUUGCCUGUGAAGAAGUGGCUUGUCUACUUGAUAUUUGGUGCAUUGGUUCUCAUUCAGUUCAUUUGACAUGAUUAUCUAUUCGUUGUUUUUAUCCGUUAACCAUUGUGGCAUGUACAGUUGUUCAUUCCUCUUAUGCAUCUAGUCCUUCAAAUCCUUGGUAAUUUGGGCUACUUAUAUUGUGAUGUUAUUUUAUUUAAAAUUGUCCCCAUUUUGGAAAUGGGUCACUAUUGAUGUGAAUAACCUUACUAUGACAUGAGCAUGUCAACGCUAAUUAUAUUUGAUUUGUGAAUUUAUUAUCAAUUUAUGUACCAUUGAUCGUGCAUUCUCUUCUUUAACAAUUUCUGAGUGUAUCUAUUGGUAAUCUACUGAUUUUACCUUGCUAUAGAAAUGCUACCUGAAUAGGCCCAUUGUCAAACUUGAAAUAGCAGCACAAGAGGAGAUGAAAAUAAUUGAAUUGUGUCUUACUAGGCUUUUAAAUUCUGAUGUGGAUCAAACAUUCCAGUCACAACUUGUCUUCCUGUUAGUUCUCCAACUAAGUAGUAAUGUCUUCAUUUUCCUGAUGUUUUAAACAAGGAGAAUCUUUUUUUUUUUUCCAGUUAUCUUUAUCACACAAUUGAUCAUUUUCUUCUCACUUUUACUUGUAUAACUGAAUGUCUAUUGGAGGUCUUUGAGAAUAAAUAAUUGCCGUUGAAAAUCAAUAGUUUAGAUAUGAGAAAAAAAGCUGUCAAUUGAGGUUGGGCAAGCUCUGUAUUUGUUGUUACAAAAACAAUGUUUGGUCAGAUGAAGACAUGGAAAUUCAUUCUUAAAAUUUAUUACUUUGUUCAUCUGCAAAUGUCUACGGUUGGUCUUGUUCACUAGCAGAGUGAUAGAACCUGCUUAAGGAAACAGAAAACCAAGAUAAUGUGUAGACUGUAGAAAAUUGAGUUUAAAAUAGGCUUUUUACACUAUAUUUUGUGUCUUUUUAAAUUAUCUUCCGUGGGGGCAAUCAUACUACAUUUGAUUAUAUUUAUGGAAAUUGGAUCUUAGAUUCUUCAUAUCGUGGAUUCCAGUGAUUAGAGGUAAGGACAUGUAUUAGUUAUGCCCGAGUUUGGUAAGAUGGAUAGAUCCCUUGCACGCUUUUAUGCCCAUUUGCACAUAUCCUUUAUAUUCUUAUAGAUUAGUGGUUGGGUAGAUGUAAAAUUUACUGAAGAAACUCUCAUGUUGCUUGUAACCAUUAGGAGUAAUCUAAGCCAGAGGAAAGAAGGAUGAUUGCUUAGUCUGGAUGAAUAUCUUUCUCAGUGUGGUUUCUCUUUUGGGAACUUGCUAAUUGCAUCCAGAGGAUGGUUAAGUGGUCUGUAUGAGUUAUUUUCUUUGGUAUGCUGUUUCUCAAGAUCUCUAGAUUCAUCAUAAACCAUUGCUCUGUAAGUGGUAGUCCCUGCUGCAUGUGGUCCAAAGUUUAUUCGCUGGAAUGAACAUAUUCGAUCUUAUCUUAUGUGCUUGCAGUUUAUUUUCUCCUGUCCUGAGGUAAUUCCAGGAGCAUUGUUUCAUCAUUAAGGAUUUUGUGGCAACUUGAUUUGGUUGUAUAGUCAUUUUCUUCGUCGAUGUGACACUUGGUUUUGUUGAUAUAGUCAUUUUCUAUGUUAAUGUCUUACACUAGUCAUUCUCAUUUGAAUAUUGAAUAAUUUCUUUCACGAGAUGAAUAGCCUUUGAUACUUGAAGUUUCUACAUGCAACCUCUAGUGCUGCCUUCCAUGUUUAAUUGAUGUGGUCUGCCUAGUUUGUCUUUUUCACUCAUGUUAGAUAGGUAUAUCAUAUAAGUUUAGUUUACUGUUUACCUUGAGCUAUUUCAAUUUAGUCAAUCAUGGAAUAUCGAGUUGAUUCCAAUAGGUCUGUGAAACAUCGUUUUCGAAAACAUGUGUGCCACUUUUUCUUUAUGAUGACAAUGUUUAACUGGAGACUCUGGUGAAGGUGCAUAACUAGUGUGUUUACUUUGCUGCAGUCACUUUCUGUAAACUCCGGCAAGUCAAAUUAAUCUAGCUAGUAUAACUUCAAAGAUUCCAGUUCUGUUAACUUUGCGUUUAACUUAUGCUUCAUCCUGACAUCUCAUGUUUUGAAUCUUAAAAGAUCGUUUAGGAAUCACUGGAGCACAUAUUAUGGCUAUUCCUUAGGUACCUUCCAGUAAAACCACUGAAAUUUCAGAUAAUAGUGAUCACACAUGUCCUCCCAGCACAACCCAUGUCCUGGAUGUUGCCCGUGGCUCUCCAGCUUCCGGCACGGAGGUUCACCUUGAGAUGUGGAAAGGAACUCAUCAGCACCCAUCAUUUACAAACAGAGAAUCCACCCACCGGAUGUUGAUAGGCUCUUUGAUAACAAAUGCUGAUGGCUGCAGUGGCCCUCUCUGAUGGGCAUCGUCGACCAUAUUACUCCUGGCUUUUAGCAGAUAAGUUUCAACACCGGUAAAUAUGGCUUCUUUGCUUGUGUCAGCUUGGUGUUUCAGGUCAGAGAAAACCAGAUAGCAGAACACUUUCAUGUUUCCUCUGCUGCAUUCGUCCUUUUCGUUCACGACACACAGGGGGAGCUAGAUAUGGUACUCUUCGUUGCUUAACAGAUUCUUUUCUAGGUAAACUAUGGAUGUUACUUUGUCGUAUCGGAAGUAUAUGUGCCAGGAUCGUAUACAAUUCAAACAGGUCUAAAUUAUGAUCAUGGUGUUUGGACGGA